This 87-nucleotide transfer RNA is filed under the name Salmonella enterica subsp. enterica serovar Cerro str. CFSAN001589. RNAcentral describes it as "tRNA-Leu". It matches the Rfam family "tRNA". Rfam says of the family: Transfer RNA (tRNA) molecules are approximately 80 nucleotides in length. Their secondary structure includes four short double-helical elements and three loops (D, anti-codon, and T loops). Further hydrogen bonds mediate the characteristic L-shaped molecular structure. tRNAs have two regions of fundamental functional importance: the anti-codon, which is responsible for specific mRNA codon recognition, and the 3' end, to which the tRNAs corresponding amino acid is attached (by aminoacyl-tRNA synthetases). tRNAs cope with the degeneracy of the genetic code in two manners: having more than one tRNA (with a specific anti-codon) for a particular amino acid; and 'wobble' base-pairing, i.e. permitting non-standard base-pairing at the 3rd anti-codon position. Lineage: Bacteria; Pseudomonadati; Pseudomonadota; Gammaproteobacteria; Enterobacterales; Enterobacteriaceae. The record is from RNAcentral.
UCGAAGGUGGCGGAAUUGGUAGACGCGCUAGCUUCAGGUGUUAGUGUUCUUACGGACGUGGGGGUUCAAGUCCCCCCCCUCGCACCA